UCCNCCUACUUCUACCUGGGGAUUUACCC
This 29-nucleotide non-coding RNA is filed under the name Homo sapiens (human). The record is from RNAcentral. Lineage: Eukaryota; Metazoa; Chordata; Mammalia; Primates; Hominidae.